Molecule: ribosomal RNA, 254 nt
Filed under: uncultured bacterium
Lineage: Bacteria
Description: partial 16S ribosomal RNA
Rfam family: Bacterial small subunit ribosomal RNA
Source: RNAcentral
UACAGAGGGUGCGAGCGUUGUCCGGAAUCACUGGGCGUAAAGGGCGCGUAGGCGGUGACUUAAGCGUGCGGUGAAAGCUCGGGGCUCAACCCCGCGUCGGCCGUGCGAACUGGGUCACUUGAGCGUAUCAGAGGCAGGCGGAAUUCCGGGUGUAGCGGUGGAAUGCGUAGAGAUCCGGAAGAACACCGGUGGCGAAGGCGGCCUGCUGGGAUACUUGCUGACGCUGAGGCGCGACAGCGUGGGGAGCAAACAGG